UCAACAGCCCGUGAUUGCGAUCGUGCUUGUUGACCAAUUGAGUUUUUGCACAAACAAAUACCAAUGGAGGUGAAGCAAAUGCGACGCUUUGAAUAUUUCUAUAAGUAUAACAUGCCAACUAUCUGGAUUUAUCAAAUGUGAUACAUACGAGUAUAUAAAUAUUACUUCAGGGACAGUUAUUACUUGCACGCUACUCGUAUGCUAAUAAAGAAUGACGCAGUUAUAACUAUACUGCGGUAUAGUAUCUUCUAGCACAUUCCUCUAAUUAAAAAUAUCUAACUCACGUGAUAGUUUAAAGAGGUACGACGUCUUUCCUAACAUAGUUAUUGUAAAUUUAAAUGACUUACUAAUAUCUUUCCGGUGGGUAACAAGGAGAACGUGUUCAAUAAUACUGAUCAUUUGAAUAACAAAUAAUAAAACAAAACAACGAAUCAAACCGAUGCCCUGACGCUGCUCAGUGUCGCGUCAGCCGGACGAUACAGGGACGAAGAUUGCAAGCGGGGAACGGACGAAGACGAGACACAUAAUGGAAUUACAUAUCUACCACAAUCCACUUGGUUGGCCGAGAUCACGACGUGUGCAUGUAUGUACGUACGUACGCGUAUCGCGAACGAAACCGGAGCGGCAGCGCCGCAGCGGGCAGGUGGGCCUAAUGGAGUAGCUACAUUAUCAGACAUCACGUGAUCCGCUCGUUGCAUAUCAACAUUUAAAUUUUAAGCAUCCGUCUACAGGUUUCAUCGCUAUGUAAAAUUAUUUUAAAUUUAUACGCAUUACGUCAAAUACCAUGAUUUAUCGUUUUUUCCUUUGUUAAAUGUUUUUACCCUUUUUUCAUCCUAUGUAAUGUAAUGAUUAUUGUAGCUAAAGAAAUACUCCAUUUAGAUCUAUGGCACAGUACCUGUUCCGUGGGACGCUUCAAAAAGAUUCGUGAUAAUGUCCGAACUCAAUGCGAUCAAUAAAUGAAUUUUUAUCUAGAAUAAUAUAUGCGCAGGAACUGUGUAAUGGAACAAAAGACUACAGCACAAUGGCCUUUCAAUUUUAGCAACGUUAUUCGUACAAUCUCAAAUCAAUAACUUGAAAACACUUGUGAACAGAUUGUUUUGUUUCAUUCAAUAUUUUUUUGUAAAAUCUAUUUUAAUGAAAAAGAACACAACUACAACAAAACGAAAUAUAGAAAUGAAAUUAAAAGUAAUGUAUUAAUUGUAAAGUAUGUCAAUUCCUAACAACUACCUGUUGCUGUUGAUAUGAAAUUUGAUACUAAGGAAAAUAUAGUAAUCUAUAGAAUUUUACAAAUGUAUUGUUAAUUUUAAAUUUACUAUUUCAACGAUUAGAUAUUAUUUGUAAGCAUUGCAAGAUAUAUACUGUAUGUACUUAUUUUUUUCUUAGAACGAAAAUUUAUCUAGUGAUAGGUUCUAAAAAGUAGUGUAACUGACCUUGGCGCCUAAGAAGCGCGCUUCCAGUAGCUCCUGUUUGCGAGGAUCCAGCGCCGCCUGGAAGUGCUCCAUCUUGACGCCAGCACCUGAUACAAACCGGUAUAUUUAGUUAUAUGAUCACAGAUUUUCUUAUUUGCACUCGAAAACUUGGAUACACAGACAAUGUUAAUAUAAUAUUUACUAUGUGAUAUCUAUGUCUAAUAAUUACUUAAAUUUCAUUAUGCUUAAGAUUCUUUUAAGUAAUAAAAUUGCAAAUAUCAAGUUAAUACAAAGCAAGUAUCUUUCUAGCGAUCAACCCAAGUCGUUUUGUGUAGCUGUAGUAAAACCCGAACAAAUGGGGAAAAUUGAAUUUCCAUUUUAUAUGUGUUAGUAUUAAGGACUUUUUUGUUAAAAUACUAUUUACAUAAAAUUAUUAAACAUUUUUAUUCGUA
This is a long non-coding RNA of Manduca sexta (tobacco hornworm), 1861 nucleotides long. RefSeq lists it as uncharacterized. NCBI's taxonomy places the organism in Eukaryota, Metazoa, Arthropoda, Insecta, Lepidoptera, Sphingidae. The transcript has 2 exons. The record is from RefSeq and is a predicted model, not a curated record.